Non-coding RNA from Mus caroli (Ryukyu mouse), 128 nucleotides. The record is from RefSeq and is a predicted model, not a curated record. Lineage: Eukaryota; Metazoa; Chordata; Mammalia; Rodentia; Muridae.
UCUCCAGUCCUCCCAUUACACUUUUAAUGCAGCAGAGCGGCAUGGCGAAGAUUCAGGAAACAGGAAUGAUGUAGUAGCGCCUUGAAGAAGAGAUACAGGAUGCUUACGUCGGUGAGCUUCAGCGUUUG